CUGCGAUGAUGACCUUCUUAGGACACCUUUGGAUUAAAACAUGAAAAGACGUUUUGUUUCUGAGCAGC
This 68-nucleotide small nucleolar RNA is filed under the name Leptobrachium leishanense (Leishan spiny toad). Its description in RNAcentral is "Small nucleolar RNA SNORD58 (ENSLLEG00000004409.1)". It matches the Rfam family "Small nucleolar RNA SNORD58". From Rfam's summary of the family: snoRNA U58 is found in introns 1, 3 and 6 of the ribosomal protein RPL17 gene in humans. U58 is a member of the C/D class of snoRNA which contain C (UGAUGA) and D (CUGA) box motifs. The record is from Rfam by way of RNAcentral. Lineage: Eukaryota; Metazoa; Chordata; Amphibia; Anura; Megophryidae.